Molecule: long non-coding RNA, 793 nt
Organism: Nicotiana tabacum (common tobacco)
Lineage: Eukaryota; Viridiplantae; Streptophyta; Magnoliopsida; Solanales; Solanaceae
Source: RefSeq, a predicted model, not a curated record
CAAUUUUUCCCUCUUUGUUUUAUCCAUUCCCUCUUUUUUUCCCAAACCCCUCCCUCGGUUUCACCAAAAGAGAAGCUUUAGAGCUUCCAUUUUCUUUAACUUGAAAAAUUAAAACCCUCACUUGAAAAAUUCACAAUACGUUCUCCACAAUAUGAAAGAUUUAAAAGCUUUUUUGACGGUUCAAUUACUUGGGUUCACGCUUGGACCGUCACUGAUGCAAUUUUUUGCUUUCUUCCCCAUUCUAUGAAAUAGAUUCACAACGGUGAGUUUGAUUGUGGGUUCAGAUCUAUGAAAUUUUUGUUGAAUCGGUGGUGUAUUUUGAAGAAGGAUAUAACACUCUCUUUUGAAUUCGAGAUAACUCUCGAGGACCUUCAGAGAAGACGCAAUUGUCACUAGCUGCUAUUCCUCUUUCUGCUCUACAUGGUGUUUGAAUCAAUCUCAAGGUAUGCCGAAGCCCAAGCGUUACGAGAACUUUCCGAACUCAAUUCAGUCAGUACCUCAAUUCAACGCCAAGUGAUGCGGCUAGCGGAUCCAUUUUACCCAUGGAUAUAAGAUCAUCAGAUGAAAGUAAUCCUAACGACAACCAUUGAAGUUGCUUGCAAAUGUAUUAGAUAAUUAAGCAUUGCACUCGAUUGAAUGGUCAUAGUAGAUCUUUUGUCCAUAAUGGUUGGAGUGGAUGUUCUGUAUAAAGUUAGUUUUAAGACUAAUUAUAAUAUUGAUGUUUUGUGUUUAAUGGUUGGAGUAAUUGUGUUUAAGUAAAUUUUUGAGACUAAUGAUAAUUUACUUUAGUGUA